Molecule: ribosomal RNA, 1363 nt
Filed under: uncultured bacterium
Lineage: Bacteria
Description: bacterial SSU rRNA
Rfam family: Bacterial small subunit ribosomal RNA
Source: RNAcentral
GAUGAACGCUAGCGACAGGCUUAACACAUGCAAGUCGAGGGGCAGCACGAUGUAGCAAUACAUUGGUGGCGACCGGCGCACGGGUGAGUAACGCGUAUGCAACCUACCUAUCAGAGGGGAAUAACCCGGCGAAAGUCGGACUAAUACCGCAUAAAACAGGGGUUCCACAUGGAAAUAUUUGUUAAAGAAUUAUCGCUGAUAGAUGGGCAUGCGUUCCAUUAGAUAGUUGGUGAGGUAACGGCUCACCAAGUCCACGAUGGAUAGGGGUUCUGAGAGGAAGGUCCCCCACACUGGUACUGAGACACGGACCAGACUCCUACGGGAGGCAGCAGUGAGGAAUAUUGGUCAAUGGGCAAGAGCCUGAACCAGCCAAGUCGCGUGAAGGAUGAAGGAUCUAUGGUUUGUAAACUUCUUUUAUAUGGGAAUAAAGUGAGGAACGUGUUCCUUUUUGUAUGUACCAUAUGAAUAAGCAUCGGCUAACUCCGUGCCAGCAGCCGCGGUAAUACGGAGGAUGCGAGCGUUAUCCGGAUUUAUUGGGUUUAAAGGGUGCGUAGGUGGCUAAUUAAGUCAGCGGUGAAAGUUUGUGGCUCAACCAUAAAAUUGCCGUUGAAACUGGUUAGCUUGAGUAUAUUUGAGGUAGGCGGAAUGCGUGGUGUAGCGGUGAAAUGCAUAGAUAUCACGCAGAACUCCGAUUGCGAAGGCAGCUUACUAAACUAUAACUGACACUGAAGCACGAAAGCGUGGGGAUCAAACAGGAUUAGAUACCCUGGUAGUCCACGCAGUAAACGAUGAUUACUAGCUGUUUGCGAUCCACAGUAAGCGGCGCAGCGAAAGCGUUAAGUAAUCCACCUGGGGAGUACGCCGGCAACGGUGAAACUCAAAGGAAUUGACGGGGGCCCGCACAAGCGGAGGAACAUGUGGUUUAAUUCGAUGAUACGCGAGGAACCUUACCCGGGUUUGAACGCAUUCGGACCGGAGUGGAAACACUUCUUCUAGUAAUAGCCGUUUGCGAGGUGCUGCAUGGUUGUCGUCAGCUCGUGCCGUGAGGUGUCGGCUUAAGUGCCAUAACGAGCGCAACCCUUAUCACUAGUUGCUAACAGGUCAUGCUGAGGACUCUAGUGAGACUGCCAGCGUAAGCUGUGAGGAAGGUGGGGAUGACGUCAAAUCAGCACGGCCCUUACAUCCGGGGCGACACACGUGUUACAAUGGUGGGGACAAAGGGCAGCUACCGUGUGAGCGGAUGCAAAUCUCCAAACCCCAUCUCAGUUCGGAUCGAAGUCUGCAACCCGACUUCGUGAAGCUGGAUUCGCUAGUAAUCGCGCAUCAGCCAUGGCGCGGUGAAUAAAAUCCCGGGCCUUGCACA